CAGAUGUCAUGGGUCCCAUAAACACAAAAGAGGCAUUUUUUGCCUGGUGGGGCACCCUCUAACCUUGUCUCAAUAAGAGGGUAAUAUAACAAGGGUAUAUUUGAUAGGUUUAUAAAUGGUAAGAAUGACUCCACCAGCCAGGACAUCCAUUACCAAUGGCGGGGAACCAGCUAAAAGUCGUAUCAGGAGGCAGAGAUGAGAAGCAUGGUUAAGAACUUCUUAGUGGUAUUAGAUCUCACACCAGGUCAUAUGGGUGGACUUCAUAUGAGUAUCACAGCAACUCAUCACAGAACACUUCUUGGCUGGGAUUAGGAGAAGAUAAUAGCAUAUUGUGAGAGCCAACUAGUCACCAGGCAUAGUGUCAUGAUGGAUUCUUGAAAGCCCAGGAACCCACGAAAGUAGAUACUCUCAUGCUAAUUUUCGCUUGGAGGAAACUGAGGUACAGAGAGGUCUAGAAACUGGCAGUGAUGGAACCGGCACAGACUUCAGCCUCACUGACUGCAGCACGCAUGCCCUUGAACCACCCCACGCUGCCUGGAUAUCGAUGGAUUAUGAGUG
Molecule: long non-coding RNA, 558 nt
Filed under: Capra hircus (goat)
Lineage: Eukaryota; Metazoa; Chordata; Mammalia; Artiodactyla; Bovidae
Description: lncRNA (ENSCHIG00000005062.1)
Source: RNAcentral